CAGGCCUAACACAUGCAAGUCGAACGGUAUUGAGCUUCGGCUCAGUAUAGUGGCAAACGGGUGCGUAACGCGUAAGCAACCUGCCCUUCACUGGGGGAUAGCCUGGCGAAAGCCGGGGUAAGCCCGCACGGUUCCAAGAGAUCGCCUGGUUUUUUGGAUAAAGAUUAAUCGGUGGAGGAGGGGCUUGCGUCUGAUUAGGUAGUUGGUGAGGUAACGGCUCACCAAGCCGGUGAUCAGUAGGGGUUCUGAGAAGAUUGGCCCCCACAUGGGUACUGAGAGACGGACCCAACUCCUACGGGAGGCAGCAGUAGGGAAUAUUGGGCAAUGGGCGAGAGCCUGACCCAGCCAUGCCGCGUGCAGGACGAAGGCGCUCAGCGUUGUAAACUGCUUUUACUCAUGAAGAACGGUUGGUUUGCGAACCAAUGUGACGGUAAUGAGGGAAUCAGCACCGGCUAACUCCGUGCCAGCAGCCGCGGUAAU
RNAcentral lists this ribosomal RNA (480 nucleotides) under uncultured bacterium. RNAcentral's name for it is "bacterial SSU rRNA". It matches the Rfam family "Bacterial small subunit ribosomal RNA", at positions 43 to 524 of the family's 1533-position model. The record is from RNAcentral.